This 490-nucleotide ribosomal RNA is filed under the name uncultured bacterium. Its description in RNAcentral is "partial 16S ribosomal RNA". It matches the Rfam family "Bacterial small subunit ribosomal RNA", at positions 28 to 523 of the family's 1533-position model. The record is from RNAcentral.
GACGAACGCUGGCGGCGUGCUUAACACAUGCAAGUCGAGCGGUAAGGCCCUUCGGGGUACACGAGCGGCGAACGGGUGGGUAACACGUGGGUGACCUGCCCACCACUUCGGGAUAAGCCUGGGAAACCGGGUCUAAUAUCGGAUAGGACCUCCGCAUGCACGUGGGGUGGGGGAAAGGUUUUCGGUGGAGGAUGGGCCCGCGGUCUAUCAGCUUGUUGGUGGGGUGAUGGCCUACCAAGGAGACGACGGAUAGGCGGCCCGAGAGGGUGAUCGGCCACACUGGGACUGAGACACGGCCCAGACUCCUACGGGAGGCAGCAGUGGGGAAUCUUGCGCAAUGGGCGAAAGCCUGACGCAGCAACGCCGCGUGGGGGAUGACGGCCUUCGGGUUGUAAACCUCUUUCGCGAUCGACGAAGCUCGUACUUCUGGUACGGGUGACGGUAGGUCGAGAAGAAGCACCGGCCAACUACGUGCCAGCCGCCGCCGUAA